Culex quinquefasciatus (southern house mosquito) is the source of this 1174-nucleotide long non-coding RNA. RefSeq lists it as uncharacterized. The record is from RefSeq and is a predicted model, not a curated record. The transcript has 3 exons. Lineage: Eukaryota; Metazoa; Arthropoda; Insecta; Diptera; Culicidae.
UUCCGUGUUUGGAAGGGGAUUGGAUGACUUGGCGGGACCGAGGGCGAGGACUUGUGCGAUUUAUGUUGGCCUGACCAGUUCAGACGUUGGUCGGAUGAUGCUGCAACUGCGGAUACUCGUGGUAUCGAUGACCGCUUCAGCAUUUCGGUUCUCAUCAGCUUGCGUAGGCGUAGAAAACAGAUACUACGACAAGGAGCGCUCCAAAAGCUUCGCUACGCGACAAGCAUCCUCAAAUUUUGGCCCACACGCACACUUCCGAUUCGUCCUCAACGCACGAAGCGUCAGACGAAAAAGGCCAAUAUCAUGAUCAAAGCUCCGACGGCCGCCAUGACAGAACAACCCAGUUCGGCACCAGCAAUGUUCCUACCGCCAACCUGGGCACCAACUCACAACCCUUCAAAACACCCACGCCGAGAAAAUCCUCGCGACGCACGACGCGAUAACGACCGCAGACGAUCUGUUCGAAACGUGUCUCUGUGCACCGUCAGUCGGCAGCUCCGACGAUUUUAAACCCCCAAGCGCGGAUGAGCCUACUGAUGUUACGCCGUGGAAGGAGACUUUGAGGCGGCGUUUGGGACGCCGCAUGUUUGCCAGCUUUCGGUGGAUAUGAGCGGAUAUGCUGACUUUGCCGACUAUGCGGAAUUGGAACAGCUGCGGUGGCCUUUAGAAGGAUUUGUUCUGUGGGUUGAGUCCGAGAAGCGAUCCGCCUGCGAAUCGGUUAGGAAGGAUGUCACAGCCGACCUUUGCGUAAGCGCUGCGUGGCUACGACUUGCUGCCGGACCUGAGUGAACUUUCGCUGGGCAGUACCAACGCUAGCGCCGAGUUGACCCGGAUUACGCAGGAUCUUCGUAAGUUGCGGCAGUGACGCACAGAAUUCAUUGGCGGGACCGAGGACUCCGGAGCAGCUUUUUCGGGUUGGUCAACAAAGGCACCCUCGAAACGAAUAACUAAGUUAUGGGAUACGUCCUUAAGCAGGACUGCUACUGCGUGAACCCGUCGUGGAAGUCCCGCACAGAACAUGAAACUAUAUCAGUGGCCUGGAGAAUUCCAAAUUCGAGCUGCAGAGACUGGUUCCAGUACAUCUGGAAAAGUUCUUCGUCCUGUAGGUUCUACCAAGCGAUUUCGCUUCUAGAUGAUAUGCCGUUAUGUUAUAUAUAUUAAAUAAAUUUAUUAA